Molecule: ribosomal RNA, 1370 nt
Filed under: uncultured bacterium
Lineage: Bacteria
Description: bacterial SSU rRNA
Rfam family: Bacterial small subunit ribosomal RNA
Source: RNAcentral
GAUGAACGCUGGCGGCGUGCCUAAUACAUGCAAGUCGAGCGAACGGACGAGAAGCUUGCUUCUCUGAUGUUAGCGGCGGACGGGUGAGUAACACGUGGAUAACCUACCUAUAAGACUGGGAUAACUUCGGGAAACCGGAGCUAAUACCGGAUAAUAUUUUGAACCGCAUGGUUCAAAAGUGAAAGACGGUCUUGCUGUCACUUAUAGAUGGAUCCGCGCUGCAUUAGCUAGUUGGUAAGGUAACGGCUUACCAAGGCAACGAUGCAUAGCCGACCUGAGAGGGUGAUCGGCCACACUGGAACUGAGACACGGUCCAGACUCCUACGGGAGGCAGCAGUAGGGAAUCUUCCGCAAUGGGCGAAAGCCUGACGGAGCAACGCCGCGUGAGUGAUGAAGGUCUUCGGAUCGUAAAACUCUGUUAUUAGGGAAGAACAUAUGUGUAAGUAACUGUGCACAUCUUGACGGUACCUAAUCAGAAAGCCACGGCUAACUACGUGCCAGCAGCCGCGGUAAUACGUAGGUGGCAAGCGUUAUCCGGAAUUAUUGGGCGUAAAGCGCGCGUAGGCGGUUUUUUAGUCUGAUGUGAAAGCCACGGCUCAACCGUGGAGGGUCAUUGGAAACUGGAAAACUUGAGUGCAGAAGAGGAAAGUGGAAUUCCAUGUGUAGCGGUGAAAUGCGCAGAGAUAUGGAGGAACACCAGUGGCGAAGGCGACUUUCUGGUCUGUAACUGACGCUGAUGUGCGAAAGCGUGGGGAUCAAACAGGAUUAGAUACCCUGGUAGUCCACGCCGUAAACGAUGAGUGCUAAGUGUUAGGGGGUUUCCGCCCCUUAGUGCUGCAGCUAACGCAUUAAGCACUCCGCCUGGGGAGUACGACCGCAAGGUUGAAACUCAAAGGAAUUGACGGGGACCCGCACAAGCGGUGGAGCAUGUGGUUUAAUUCGAAGCAACGCGAAGAACCUUACCAAAUCUUGACAUCCUUUGACAACUCUAGAGAUAGAGCCUUCCCCUUCGGGGGACAAAGUGACAGGUGGUGCAUGGUUGUCGUCAGCUCGUGUCGUGAGAUGUUGGGUUAAGUCCCGCAACGAGCGCAACCCUUAAGCUUAGUUGCCAUCAUUAAGUUGGGCACUCUAAGUUGACUGCCGGUGACAAACCGGAGGAAGGUGGGGAUGACGUCAAAUCAUCAUGCCCCUUAUGAUUUGGGCUACACACGUGCUACAAUGGACAAUACAAAGGGCAGCGAAACCGCGAGGUCAAGCAAAUCCCAUAAAGUUGUUCUCAGUUCGGAUUGUAGUCUGCAACUCGACUACAUGAAGCUGGAAUCGCUAGUAAUCGUAGAUCAGCAUGCUACGGUGAAUACGUUCCCGGGUCU